RNAcentral lists this ribosomal RNA (576 nucleotides) under uncultured bacterium. Its description in RNAcentral is "bacterial SSU rRNA". It matches the Rfam family "Bacterial small subunit ribosomal RNA", at positions 103 to 675 of the family's 1533-position model. The record is from RNAcentral.
CGGGUGAGUAAUACAUCGGAACAUGUCCUGUAGUGGGGGAUAGCCCGGCGAAAGCCGGAUUAAUACCGCAUACGAUCUACGGAUGAAAGCGGGGGACCUUCGGGCCUCGCGCUAUAGGGUUGGCCGAUGGCUGAUUAGCUAGUUGGUGGGGUAAAGGCCUACCAAGGCCACGAUCAGUAGCUGGUCUGAGAGGACGACCAGCCACACUGGGACUGAGACACGGCCCACACUCCUACGGGAGGCAGCAGUGGGGAAUUUUGGACAAUGGGCGAAAGCCUGAUCCAGCAAUGCCGCGUGUGUGAAGAAGGCCUUCGGGUUGUAAAGCACUUUUGUCCGGAAAGAAAUCCUUGGCUCUAAUACAGUCGGGGGAUGACGGUACCGGAAGAAUAGGGACCGGCUAACUACGUGCCAGCAGCCGCGGUAAUACGUAGGGUGCGAGCGUUAAUCGGAAUUACUGGGCGUAAAGCGUGCGCAGGCGGUUUGCUAAGACCGAUGUGAAAUCCCCGGGCUCAACCUGGGAACUGCAUUGGUGACUGGCAGGCUAGAGUAUGGCAGAGGGGGGUAGAAUUCCACGUG